RNAcentral lists this ribosomal RNA (468 nucleotides) under uncultured bacterium. Its description in RNAcentral is "partial 16S ribosomal RNA". It matches the Rfam family "Bacterial small subunit ribosomal RNA", at positions 28 to 507 of the family's 1533-position model. The record is from RNAcentral.
GACGAACGCUGGCGGCGUGCUUAACACAUGCAAGUCGAACGGCAAGGCCCUGCUUUUGUGGGGUGCUCGAGUGGCGAACGGGUGAGUAACACGUGAGUAACCUGCCCUUGACUUUGGGAUAACUUCAGGAAACUGGGGCUAAUACCGGAUAGGAGCUCCUGCUGCAUGGUGGGGGUUGGAAAGUUUCGGCGGUUGGGGAUGGACUCGCGGCUUAUCAGCUUGUUGGUGGGGGAGUGGCUUACCAAGGCUUUGACGGGUAGCCGGCCUGAGAGGGUGACCGGCCACCUUGGGCCUGCGAUACGGCCCAGACUCCUACGGGAGGCAGCAGUGGGGAAUAUUGCACAAUGGGCGGAAGCCUGAUGCGGCAACGCCGCGUUCGGGAUGACGGCCUUCGGGUUGUAAACCGCUUUCGCCUGUGACGAAGCGUGAGUGACGGUAAUGGGUAAAUAAGCACCGGCUAACUACGUG